Molecule: transfer RNA, 73 nt
Filed under: Stegodyphus dumicola
Lineage: Eukaryota; Metazoa; Arthropoda; Arachnida; Araneae; Eresidae
Description: tRNA-Met
Rfam family: tRNA
About the family: Transfer RNA (tRNA) molecules are approximately 80 nucleotides in length. Their secondary structure includes four short double-helical elements and three loops (D, anti-codon, and T loops).
Source: RNAcentral
GCCUUUGUGGUGUAAUUGGAAGCAUACUCGACGCAUAUUCGAAAGGUCCAGGGUUCAAGUCCCUGCGAGGGCG